RNAcentral lists this ribosomal RNA (449 nucleotides) under uncultured Streptococcus sp. Its description in RNAcentral is "bacterial SSU rRNA". It matches the Rfam family "Bacterial small subunit ribosomal RNA", at positions 15 to 454 of the family's 1533-position model. The record is from RNAcentral. Lineage: Bacteria; Bacillati; Bacillota; Bacilli; Lactobacillales; Streptococcaceae.
GAUCCUGGCUCAGGAUGAACGCUGGCGGCGUGCCUAAUACAUGCAAGUAGAACGCUGAAGCUUGGUGCUUGCACCGAGCGGAGGAGUUGCGAACGGGUGAGUAACGCGUAGGUAACCUGCCUCUUAGCGGGGGAUAACUAUUGGAAACGAUAGCUAAUACCGCAUAAAAGUCGACAUUGCAUGAUGUUGACUUGAAAGGUGCAAAUGCAUCACUAAGAGAUGGACCUGCGUUGUAUUAGCUAGUUGGUGAGGUAACGGCUCACCAAGGCGACGAUACAUAGCCGACCUGAGAGGGUGAUCGGCCACACUGGGACUGAGACACGGCCCAGACUCCUACGGGAGGCAGCAGUAGGGAAUCUUCGGCAAUGGACGGAAGUCUGACCGAGCAACGCCGCGUGAGUGAAGAAGGUUUUCGGAUCGUAAAGCUCUGCUGUAAGAGAAGAACGAGU